Molecule: ribosomal RNA, 468 nt
Filed under: uncultured bacterium
Lineage: Bacteria
Description: partial 16S ribosomal RNA
Rfam family: Bacterial small subunit ribosomal RNA
Source: RNAcentral
GACGAACGCUGGCGGCGUGCUUAACACAUGCAAGUCGAACGGAAAGGCCCUGCUUUUGUGGGGUGCUCGAGUGGCGAACGGGUGAGUAACACGUGAGUAACCUGCCCUUGACUUUGGGAUAACUUCAGGAAACUGGGGCUAAUACCGGAUAGGAGCUCCUGCUGCAUGGUGGGGGUUGGAAAGUUUCGGCGGUUGUGGAUGGACUCGCGGCUUAUCAGCUUGUUGGUGGGGUAGUGGCUUACCAAGGCUUUGACGGGUAGCCGGCCUGAGAGGGUGACCGGCCACAUUGGGCCUGAGAUACGGCCCAGACUCCUACGGGAGGCAGCAGUGGGGAAUAUUGCACAAUGGGCGGAAGCCUGAUGCAGCAACGCCGCGUGCGUGAUGACGGCCUUCGGGUUGUAAACCGCUUUCGCCUGUGACGAAGCGUGAGUGACGGUAAUGGGUAAAGAAGCACCGGCUAACUACGUG